CAAAAAAUAGUUUAGCUGAGAAUACUAGCUUUGGGGGCUAGAGGGGAGGGUUCGAAUCCUUCUUUUUUGA
Molecule: transfer RNA, 70 nt
Filed under: Chelmon rostratus (copperband butterflyfish)
Lineage: Eukaryota; Metazoa; Chordata; Actinopteri; Chaetodontiformes; Chaetodontidae
Description: tRNA-Pro
Rfam family: tRNA
About the family: Transfer RNA (tRNA) molecules are approximately 80 nucleotides in length. Their secondary structure includes four short double-helical elements and three loops (D, anti-codon, and T loops). Further hydrogen bonds mediate the characteristic L-shaped molecular structure. tRNAs have two regions of fundamental functional importance: the anti-codon, which is responsible for specific mRNA codon recognition, and the 3' end, to which the tRNAs corresponding amino acid is attached (by aminoacyl-tRNA synthetases). tRNAs cope with the degeneracy of the genetic code in two manners: having more than one tRNA (with a specific anti-codon) for a particular amino acid; and 'wobble' base-pairing, i.e. permitting non-standard base-pairing at the 3rd anti-codon position.
Source: RNAcentral